GGACAAGAAGACCCUAAGAAUUUUAAAGAUAAUAAUUUUAAUAUUAAAAUUAUUAUCUUUUGGUUGGGGCAACUAAAAAAGAUUAUAAACUUUUUAUUUAAUAAAAUGAUCCAUUAUUAAUGAUAAUUUGAUAAAAAUACUCUAGGGAUAACAGCGUAAUAAUUUUUGAUAGAACAUAUAGACAAAAUAGUUUGCGACCUCGAUGUUGGAUUAGGAUACUUUUUUAAUGAAGAUGUUAAAAAAAGAAGUUUGUUCAACUUUUAAAGUCCUACUUGAUCUGAGUUCAGACG
Molecule: ribosomal RNA, 290 nt
Filed under: Dermacentor andersoni
Lineage: Eukaryota; Metazoa; Arthropoda; Arachnida; Ixodida; Ixodidae
Description: partial 16S ribosomal RNA
Rfam family: Bacterial large subunit ribosomal RNA (bases 147-290)
Source: RNAcentral